RNAcentral lists this ribosomal RNA (505 nucleotides) under uncultured bacterium. Its description in RNAcentral is "partial 16S ribosomal RNA". It matches the Rfam family "Bacterial small subunit ribosomal RNA", at positions 28 to 507 of the family's 1533-position model. The record is from RNAcentral.
GACGAACGCUGGCGGCGUGCCUAAUACAUGCAAGUAGAACGCACAGUUUAUACCGUAGCUUGCUACACCAUAGACUGUGAGUUGCGAACGGGUGAGUAACGCGUAGGUAACCUGCCUGGUAGCGGGGGAUAACUAUUGGAAACGAUAGCUAAUACCGCAUAAUAUUGAUUAUUGCAUGAUAAUUAAUUGAAAGGUGCAAUUGCACCACUACCAGAUGGACCUGCGUUGUAUUAGCUAGUAGGUGAGGUAACGGCUCACCUAGGCGACGAUACAUAGCCGACCUGAGAGGGUGAUCGGCCACACUGGGACUGAGACACGGCCCAGACUCCUACGGGAGGCAGCAGUAGGGAAUCUUCGGCAAUAGACGAAAGUCUGACCGAGCAACGCCGCGUGAGUGAAGAAGGUUGUCGGAUCGUAAAGCUCGGUUGUAAGAGAAGAACGGGUGUGAGAGUGGAAAGUUCACACUGUGACGGUAUCUUACCAGAAAGGGACGGCUAACUACGUG